Cucurbita maxima (winter squash) is the source of this 711-nucleotide long non-coding RNA. RefSeq lists it as uncharacterized. Lineage: Eukaryota; Viridiplantae; Streptophyta; Magnoliopsida; Cucurbitales; Cucurbitaceae. The record is from RefSeq and is a predicted model, not a curated record. The transcript is spliced from 2 exons.
UAAUCAAACCUGGGCUCAUUUCCAUGCCAUCCAAAGAAACUCUACCCUUCAGGCUUCCACUUGCAAUUCUUCCCGCGAGACCAUCCAAAAAGUUCUUCCAAUGUCAAUCGUUGUAUCACGACGUUGACCACCACCACCAUGUGCCAUGUUUCCUGUUUAGUGUAGCGAGCUUUGUAAGAAUGAAAACUAAAACAGCAUUGAAAAAGGGAGAUGAAGGAUUUCAGGUACGUUUUAUUUUCCUUCUUUGGGCGUUUCCCAAUUUUUUGGCUUUAGGAGGCCGAAGGGGAGUUAAAUGGAAGCUAAGGCUAGGUGGGGUCAGCGUAGAAGAGGAGCAAAAUCCAAAAUGGAAAUCAAAUUCCAUUCUUUGAAGAAUCCGUAGGGGAUCGUAUUGGUUCUCAAAGAACAAGAAACUUUCUAGUUUUCUUCAUCGCCUGGUUUUUGGCUUGUGCCUAGCGUCUGUGUUUUUCAUUGGAAUUCCUGUUGGGAUUAACAUCCCGACGACAGGUGGGAUUUGGAGUUUGUCAUUUGUGACCACGACAGCAUUGCAACAACGUUUUGUUCUCUGUCAUCAGUGUAGGAAAAAUCGGUCUACUUGGCAGUAAACAAAAGGAAAAUACAGUUUACAAUCUUGAAGCAAUGAGGUCGUUAUUAUUUUAUCUAUUUGAUUGUGAAAUAUUUGUUGCAGUUUAAGUUCUACGGUUAAAUCUGUCA